This 247-nucleotide unclassified non-coding RNA is filed under the name Hevea brasiliensis (rubber tree). Lineage: Eukaryota; Viridiplantae; Streptophyta; Magnoliopsida; Malpighiales; Euphorbiaceae. The record is from RNAcentral.
UGUUAGAAUUGUGUCAGCCCCCACCUGUUGAGCGGUAUUUGCAUGACCUGCUUCAGUAUGCAUUGGGUGUUCUGCACAUUGUUACGUUGGUAAAUGACAGCCGCAAAAUGAUUGUAAAUGCCACAUUAAGUAAUAAUCGUGUUGGUAUAGCUGUAAUUUUGGAUGCAGCAAAUAUUUCUGGUAAUUAUGUGGACCCUGAGAUUAUACAGCCAGCAUUAAAUGUGUUGAUCAAUCUUGUUUGUCCACC